UCUACCAAACAUGGCCUAAGAGAAAAUCUGUCGCCCUCUUCCUCCUCUUCAUAGCUCGCCGCUGCCGUAGGUAAAUACGGCAGCUCCGUCCAUCACUCAAAUCCAUGCUCUGGGUUCUUCAAUGUUUUACUAUGGAAGUUAGUUCGUUGUUGGAAGAGGUUCAAAUUGAGGCUGUCUCUUCCCCUGCACCACCGCCGUUCUUCUUUUGCCUUUGUCAUUGGGUCUCUUAUUCCUCAUCUUGACUUGCUUCAACCUUGCUGUUCUGCAUGUUCGAAUAUGGAGAGAGAAGUUCAAGCAAGUUGACAUAUUAGUCUUUUGAGGACGAUGAAGAAGUAUGGACUUGAAUUUUAUUUGAGUUUAAUUUGAAUUUAUAUAUGAAUGAAAUUAGGGAAAACUAGACUAAUUCAAAUAUGGAUAUUGGAGAAUUUUGAGGACAAUUGUUGGGAUGAAUGGAAGAAUUGAAGCUUGGUAUUAGUUAAGAUUGGAUGUUUGUGAGAUAUUCAAUGAAAUAGCUAUUGGAAGGAGUUGGCCCAUGAUGAUUAAACAUGUGUAAUAAUUUAAUUAUUGUUGUUUAGAAAAUUUUUGGAAGGCACUUUUCUUUGAUAGAAGUUGGAAGCUUGGUCAUUUCAAAUACUGAUUUAGGACAACUUUUAGUAAAGGAAUUGAAAAGAAAAAAAAAACAAAAAAAAAACACUUGGUCUUAUAGGCUAAAUAUUGUUUAAAUAAAGGGUAUUUGAUAAAAUGUUUGAAAAGAGGAAUUUUGUAUUUAAAGUGGAAAAAUAUAUGUGAUAAUUAUAUUAUUGUUGAUUAAAUAAUCUUGAAAGACAUUUGUUCUUUGCA
Molecule: long non-coding RNA, 840 nt
Organism: Prosopis cineraria
Lineage: Eukaryota; Viridiplantae; Streptophyta; Magnoliopsida; Fabales; Fabaceae
Exons: 3
Source: RefSeq, a predicted model, not a curated record